UCAGGACGAACGCUGGCGGCGUGCCUAAUACAUGCAAGUCGAACGCUUCUUUUCCCACCGGAGCUUGCUCCACCGGGAAAAGAGGAGUGGCGAACGGGUGAGUAACACGUGGGUAACCUGCCCAUCAGAAGGGGAUAACACUUGGAAACAGGUGCUAAUACCGUAUAACAAUCGAAACCGCAUGGUUUCGUUUUGAAAGGCGCUUUACGGUGCCGCUGAUGGAUGGACCCGCGGUGCAUUAGCUAGUUGGUGAGGUAACGGCUCACCAAGGCCACGAUGCAUAGCCGACCUGAGAGGGUGAUCGGCCACAUUGGGACUGAGACACGGCCCAAACUCCUACGGGAGGCAGCAGUAGGGAAUCUUCGGCAAUGGACGAAAGUCUGACCGAGCAACGCCGCGUGAGUGAAGAAGGUUUUCGGAUCGUAAAACUCUGUUGUUAGAGAAGAACAAGGGUGAGAGUAACUGUUCACCCCUUGACGGUAUCUAACCAGAAAGCCACGGCUAACUACGUGCCAGCAGCCGCGGUAAUACGUAGGUGGCAAGCGUUGUCCGGAUUUAUUGGGCGUAAAGCGAGCGCAGGCGGUUUCUUAAGUCUGAUGUGAAAGCCCCCGGCUCAACCGGGGAGGGUCAUUGGAAACUGGGAGACUGA
RNAcentral lists this ribosomal RNA (649 nucleotides) under Enterococcus mundtii. RNAcentral describes it as "bacterial SSU rRNA". It matches the Rfam family "Bacterial small subunit ribosomal RNA", at positions 24 to 644 of the family's 1533-position model. Lineage: Bacteria; Bacillati; Bacillota; Bacilli; Lactobacillales; Enterococcaceae. The record is from RNAcentral.